AGAUCUCGUACUGAUACCCCCUCUUCUCUUUUUGUUUAAUCAGCUUGUUUUGGCAUUACGAUAAAGAGAGAAAGAAACCGGACACGCAACAUCUCCAUUGAAUCCAUCUAAUCUCUCCUCUGAUUGAACGCGAACCAAAGGAAGAACAUAAAUCGGAAGCCAUCCAAUUCUAGACCUUAAUCGGAGCGCUGAAAACCAAUUAAGGACUGACGUGAUUAAGAAGGAAGAAACUAUGCCUGGCAGCAUUGGGUGAAUGGAUGUAGAAACAGAGGAAACUGAAAAUGGUAAUAAUGAUGUAUCUCGUCCCUAAAGAGGCUAAUGAUCAGCCGAAGGAACUACUAUACUAGAAACAAGCUUCUAAAAGGCUAUUGCAGAAUGGGAUACGGGUACUGAUGCGGGUCCUCUUGUAACUAGGCGUAGGCAUAUUCGGUUUGAAUCUCUUCAUGAAGGUAUAUAGGGGUGCUAACGGGUCGGGUUUGCGUGUCAACCUGACCCGAACCCGAAAAUUUUAGACUGAUGCGAACCCGAAAAUCAUGUCGUACAUAUGAACCCAAACUCGACCCGAAUAUUCGAACCCGACCCGUUCAACCCGAUUUUUUUUUAAUUUUUUUCAGCAAAUUAAUAUAUUAAAAUUAACACUACAACAAAAAAAACACAAAUUUAUAUAAUAAAAUUACAUUAAAAUCAUAUUAAUUUAUGUUAACUUCCAUUUUUAAGUUAUAUUUAUAGCAUAAAAUAUACACCCAAUUUAAUUUAUGACCUAAAACAUAUUUUUAAAAAUAUAAUAUAAUAGAAAUGGGUUAAACGGGUCAACUUGCCAACCCAACCGGGUUGACCCGAACCUGACCCGUUUAGCUAAACGGGUUCGUGGGUUCAACCUGAAACUGGCCCGAACCCGUUUAGACUAAACCCAAACCCACGAAUUUCGUGUUAGGUUCGUAUCAUGUUUUCGGAUCGUGUCAGAAAUUCACACCCCUAAAGAUAUAUGCUUAAUAUUUUACAUCUCUUGAUGUGGGUCAUGUUCUUCUCAUUGUGGCUUCCUUCGUAUUGCUCCCUUUUCACCGGUACUCGCUGGUGUUGGGGAUGCUUGUGGUGCUAAUGUUCAUCCCAAUUUACAAUUUAUGAGCGCAUUAUAUGGGGCCUUGCUAUAGCUAGGACCUAUGUAGGAUCGUUGUUGAACCCGAAUGAGUCAAUCAGAAGAGUUGUGAAUCCGAUUCAAAGGCGGAAUCAGUGAAACGGACGCUCAAACUAAUUAUAAUGCUUCUUUGAUUGAUUUAACAACGUUUACAACCUGAAAGCAAUUUGGCAGCACUUCGUUACAAUUUCCAGAUCUGUUGCCAAAUGAACAACAAUGCACCUAUAUAUAGUUGAGGUAGUUUCGCUUAUAUGGACGUCCAUAUGAACGAAACCUCAUGCUUGUGGUUUCGCUUUUAUGGACAUUGUCCAUAUAAGCGGAACCUCUUGCAUAACCACUAAGUUUCGACUCUCGAACCUCAUGCACUAGUUAUUCUAACCUAUCCUAUUCUAUUACAUGAUACAAGACGAAGUCAAUAGACGUAAUGCACUAACAGACUCCCCCUCGGAUAUUGACAAAGUCUUCAGUGGCUAUUCUCUGUUAUGACACCUCUUCAGUCUUGAUCAUUUUGCCUUCUCAUUCAGAUUGUAACAAUGCUCCCCCUUUCGUUAAGCUUCUGUGCUUUUAGGGAUCGACACCAAGCUUUCCAGCUAACAAGCUCUUUCUAACUUCCAGCUUGUCUUCAGACUCCCCCUUAGACUCUGCUUUCGGGAUCGUAGUCUGGGAGCUAUUUGAAGCCAAAAUCAAGCUUGUUGAACUCGGGUUCAGUAGAGAUGCAGUUAUACAAGCUUUGAAGCUUUUUGAUGGUAAUGAAGAACAAGCAGCUGGAUAUCUUCUACCUCUGGAAAAGUGCGUGAAUCUGCUGUUUUUGUUUUGAUAUUUGCUGGUGCUGCAUUUAGGAUUAAUUUGCCAUUGGUCGAUUAAAUUGUGCAAUGCAUGAAGUAGCUACCGCUGAAACUUAGGAUAUGAUGGUUUAUACAGUUUGUUUUUGGCCAUUUAUCUUUGAUUCUUUAUCUACUCCACUUCAUUUCUGUGUUCUUUGAUUUUCAGGAUCCUUGCCACCAUUGGCCCAACUAAGUUAUGGAUACUUUUGAUUCUAAGCCUGAAUUGACAAACAUUUGUUUAUCCUACAGGUUGUUCCAAAAUUUGAUUUGGAUAUUAACUAAGAUGAUGUGGAAGGCGGGUGUUCCAGCUAUGGACAGAUCAAGCAUAUAUAUGUUGACAAGUAUGUGUGUAAGUUCUUUAUCUCAGUCUACUAGAAUGAGCAUGUGUUAGAUGUGCAAAUUACCAUAACAUGGGGUUUACAAGUAGCAUGAAUAAAACAAUUGGAGGAUCAUACAACAUCAGAAUUGGCCACAAGUUACAAGUUUACUCCCCACCACAACAGCAGUAAUGUGCCACGAACCAUGAAUGCAAAUUUGCAGCACUUUUAGGUCUAAAACAAUGAGUAUGCGGACUUGAAGAAAACAGUCUGGAAAUAGUUCUUAGUUUAUGUGUAAAGUCAUUUUCAUUUGCAAGUUUUGUAGAUAGGUUAGUAUUGGUAUUUAAAUUGAAUACUUAUGUAUGGAUUUUGGGUUAUUAUUAUUAAUAGCAUUUGGUUUUUAGUU
This 2682-nucleotide long non-coding RNA is filed under the name Helianthus annuus (common sunflower). RNAcentral's name for it is "hypothetical non coding rna". Lineage: Eukaryota; Viridiplantae; Streptophyta; Magnoliopsida; Asterales; Asteraceae. The record is from RNAcentral.